GCCCCUGUGGCGGAAGUGGUAGACGCGGCAGACUCAAAAUCUGUUGUCGGCAACGACGUGCCCGUUCAAGUCGGGCCAGGGGCACCA
Molecule: transfer RNA, 87 nt
Filed under: Hyphomicrobiaceae bacterium
Lineage: Bacteria; Pseudomonadati; Pseudomonadota; Alphaproteobacteria; Hyphomicrobiales; Hyphomicrobiaceae
Description: tRNA-Leu
Rfam family: tRNA
About the family: Transfer RNA (tRNA) molecules are approximately 80 nucleotides in length.
Source: RNAcentral